AACGGAUAUCGUCGGCUCUCGCCACGAUGAAGAAUGUAGCGAAAUGCGAUACUUAGUGUGAAUUGCAGAAUCCCGUGAAUCAUCAAGUCUUUGAACGCAAGUUGCGCCCGAGGGCUCGGCCAAGGGCACGUCUGCUUGGGCGUCGC
This 146-nucleotide ribosomal RNA is filed under the name Hesperocyparis montana. RNAcentral's name for it is "5.8S rRNA". It matches the Rfam family "5.8S ribosomal RNA". Rfam says of the family: 5.8S ribosomal RNA (5.8S rRNA) is a component of the large subunit of the eukaryotic ribosome. It is transcribed by RNA polymerase I as part of the 45S precursor that also contains 18S and 28S rRNA. The record is from RNAcentral. Lineage: Eukaryota; Viridiplantae; Streptophyta; Pinopsida; Cupressales; Cupressaceae.